This 1191-nucleotide ribosomal RNA is filed under the name Triticum aestivum (bread wheat). RNAcentral describes it as "partial small subunit ribosomal RNA". The record is from RNAcentral. Lineage: Eukaryota; Viridiplantae; Streptophyta; Magnoliopsida; Poales; Poaceae.
AUGGGUGCAAGAAGAGUUCGUCGUAGAACCUCCGCGGUGUGGGAUCACUUUGAUGAAGAAAUAUCUGUGGUGGCCGGUGGCCGAAAGGUGAAUGAAAGGUGCAAAAGGUGCCAGAAGUUAUAUAUCGGAGAAGCCAAGGCAGGAGCCGGCCACCUGGAGAGGCAUGUGGAGGCCCAUGCCAGGACGGAUGCAACGACUCUGUUGAGCUCAACAGCGGUGCAAACUCAGCCCAGGUUCAACCCUGACGGUACAGUACGCAAUUUCACCUACGAUGCUAAUGUUCAGCGAGAAGGUCUAUGCCAUCUUAUUGCUUCUAAUGAUUUACCUUGUGGUCCAAGCAUUGCUGAAGGUGUACUCAAAGUUGUGAACGACUUUGAUCUUGCCAACAAGGUUUUCACCAUAACUUUGGAUAAUGCUUCAGCAAACACUACAUUGACUACAUUUCUUAAGUUGUUCUAUGAUGCAACAAUUACUUUGUCUGGGGUUUAUUACCCGACAUCUUCGUUGAUGGUGCAUACUAUAUUAGACAUUGCUAGUCAUUUGAAAGCAUACGGAGGCGAUGGAUUAUUACUUAAUGUUGUUGCUGACAUGAAAACCAAGUAUUGGCAACAAAUUCCAUUGUUGUAUGCAUUUGCAUGUAUCUUGGAUCCUAGAGCUAAACUUGAAGGGUAUCGUAGUGCACUCAAUGUACCAUCUCUUUCCCUAUGUUUAGAUUAUACUGAUGACUUCGGUAAGGCUCGUGAAAAGCUUUAUGGAGUUUUUGAUAAGUAUGAGCAAAAGUAUGCGGGAGUGCGAAUGCAACGACCUCCACCAGCACCUACUGCAAGUAAAAAGAAAGGAGCGUGGAGCAAGAUCUUUGGUUCUUCAUCCUUCUACCACCGGAAGCUCUUCCACAUCAACACCUAUGAUUCAAGGUGGCAGAGAUGGUGGCAAGAACACAAGCUUACAUAUCCGGUGCUUUCCAUAUUAGCUUGUGAUGUGUUAUCGGUACCCGUCUCUACUGUGUCAUCGGAGUUUGCUUUCAGCCUUGCUGGAAGAAUAAUUGAGGAGAUAGGAAUUAGUCUCACCGCUGAUAUGGUGAGAACUGAUGUUCGUGAAAGAUGGAGAGAUAUCAAGAAAGAUAGCCCAACACACUGCAGAAAACACAGUACUGCUAGCCGCGUUUGGAGAUAUGACUCUCGAAGAAGAUGA